GCAGCUUUAGCUCACUUGGGAGAGCGCCAGGUAAGCCUCAACACCAUCAGCUGCCGAUCUCAGCAUUCACUAACAAUUCAUCAGACUGAAGUCCACUUCGGCCCAACGCCUGCCACAGCCAUCUGUGCGGUAUCUGGAGGUACUGUGUUCGAUCCACAGAAGCUGCA
RNAcentral lists this transfer RNA (167 nucleotides) under Neofusicoccum parvum UCRNP2. Its description in RNAcentral is "tRNA-Und (NNN) (tRNA-Und-NNN-2-1)". Lineage: Eukaryota; Fungi; Ascomycota; Dothideomycetes; Botryosphaeriales; Botryosphaeriaceae. The record is from RNAcentral.